RNAcentral lists this ribosomal RNA (253 nucleotides) under uncultured bacterium. Its description in RNAcentral is "partial 16S ribosomal RNA". It matches the Rfam family "Bacterial small subunit ribosomal RNA", at positions 524 to 776 of the family's 1533-position model. The record is from RNAcentral.
UACGGAGGGUGCAAGCGUUGUCCGGAAUCACUGGGCGUAAAGGGCGCGUAGGCGGCUCAUGAAGGCUGUGGUGAAAGUCCGGGGCUCAACCUCGGAUCGGCCGUGGCGACUCGUGGGCUGGAGCACUGUAGAGGCGGGUGGAAUUCCGGGUGUAGCGGUGGAAUGCGUAGAGAUCCGGAAGAACACCGGUGGCGAAGGCGGUCUGCUGGGGUGAGGCUGACGCUGAUGCGCGACAGCGUGGGGAGCAAACAGG